Long non-coding RNA from Panicum hallii, 171 nucleotides. RefSeq lists it as uncharacterized. The record is from RefSeq and is a predicted model, not a curated record. NCBI's taxonomy places the organism in Eukaryota, Viridiplantae, Streptophyta, Magnoliopsida, Poales, Poaceae. The transcript has 3 exons.
GUUAGGUGAUCAAUCUGGUUUCAUGAAUGCACUAAUGACUUGUUUGGAGGAUGAAGAGGAGGAAAUGGAUGAUCCUGAUUCUACCAUCAUUGAUUGAAAUAUAGGAAGAUUGCAACACAAUCCAUGCUGCUUUUUCAUGUCAAGUGAUUAGGCCUACUUGCUGCUUGCUGC